RNAcentral lists this long non-coding RNA (721 nucleotides) under Anas platyrhynchos platyrhynchos (common mallard). RNAcentral's name for it is "lncRNA (ENSAPLG00000027669.1)". Lineage: Eukaryota; Metazoa; Chordata; Aves; Anseriformes; Anatidae. The record is from RNAcentral.
CAAACGAAGCAGGAUGGGCAAUCUCCUGUCUUUGUGAAUAUGAAUGGACAAGCACAUGCUCAGAAUCAUCACAUCACCAGACGUAAAGAGGGAUAUCUGUAGACUGAAGGUUUACUUGUCAGGCUGCAAGGACAAACUGAGCAUGCAUAACCUGAACCCAUCACGAGGCGCAGCAUCAGUUGAACGUAGAGUUUGAUGUUUUCCAUUAGACUAGUGGAAAGAAUGGCCUCUACAUUGGAAGACGUCCGUAGUGUAUGCAUUUCAGAGCAUUCCCAACUUCUUUGUACAAGCUCAGUGAAAUAGGACAGUAAGUAACAUGAUUUUCACACAGAAGUCAAAUCAUAUGUCUUCAGAAGUAAUUAAAUAUGUGAAUUCAUAGUUCAGUUUAAAUAAGCCUAUGACAAUUAGUAAUCCAGAGUUAACAGAAGAUUAACUCAACAUUUAUUAACAUUUAUAUGCUAACAGGAAAAUAUUUCACAUAUGAAUUAGGUAUGGUUCUGCUCAAGACUAAAUGUUUGCCUGCUCUGAUGUUUUAGUAGUAGAAUGAAGAGUAGUUUUAUGUUGAGCCAAAUUAGAGUAGAAAAAGUGCACUGCGUUAAAACAGUCUUGUUCAAACCUUCCUGCUCCCAGUGUGGGAACAUAUUAUUGAAUGCAAGAGCCAUCCUACUACCUUCUCAGUAUCAGCAAAGAUAAAUAAAGUCAAAUUAUUUUGUAGAGUGCA